UAUGAUUCCGCAAUGCUUGAAGACAAAAGUCUUAGGAAGCAACGUAGCAAAUUAAGCUCCAAACUUUCUGGUCGAUGGCAAGGGUCGUCUUUACCUAUAAAUGGAACGCUUUUAAUUGAGAACAGGUUACCUUUUUAUUUUUGUCUAAGACGCUUAAAGUAUUGUAGUAAUAAUUUUAUACAAAUACCUCAAUUAUAAGGUGAUUUAUUAUUGAUACUCGUAAUAUAUGUUGAUCCUGAGUAACAGAUUUGAACUCAGUUAUGCAAGAAAAGAAAGUCUAAUUUAA
Long non-coding RNA from Melitaea cinxia (Glanville fritillary), 286 nucleotides. RefSeq lists it as uncharacterized. NCBI's taxonomy places the organism in Eukaryota, Metazoa, Arthropoda, Insecta, Lepidoptera, Nymphalidae. The record is from RefSeq and is a predicted model, not a curated record. The transcript is spliced from 2 exons.